RNAcentral lists this ribosomal RNA (778 nucleotides) under uncultured Neocallimastigales. RNAcentral's name for it is "partial large subunit ribosomal RNA". It matches the Rfam family "Eukaryotic large subunit ribosomal RNA", at positions 37 to 646 of the family's 3401-position model. Lineage: Eukaryota; Fungi; Neocallimastigomycota; Neocallimastigomycetes; Neocallimastigales. The record is from RNAcentral.
AGAGAGAGACAUGCGGCGCACUAUCAAUAAGCGGAGGAAAAGAAACUAACUAGGAUUCCCUCAGUAACGGCGAGUGAAGCGGGAAGAGCUCAAAUUUGAAAUCUUCAAGGUUCUACCUUGACGAAUUGUAGCUUAAAGAAGUGUUUUCUGUUGAGGUUUUGGUAAAAGUUCUUUGGAAUAGGACAUCAUAGAGGGUGAGAAUCCCGUAUUUGACCAUUACUUUCCAACUUUGUGAUACACUUUCAAAGAGUCGGAUUGUUUGGGAAUGCAGUCCAAAAUGGGUGGUAAAUUUCAUCUAAAGCUAAAUAUUGGCGAGAGACCGAUAGCGAACAAGUACCGUGAGGGAAAGAUGAAAAGAACUUUGAAAAGAGAGUUAAACAGUACGUGAAAUUGUCAAAAGGGAAGCGUUUGACACCAGUGUUGUUUUCUCGAAAAUCAAUUAAAAAAGGCAGGAUUUUGUGUUGUAUUGACUUUAUCAGCUUUCUGCACUCUUUUCUUGUCCUUUUUUAAUGCACUUUUCGUUUAACAAGUCAACAUCAAUUUCCUUUGUUGUAAAAGGGUCAUUGGAAGGUGGCUUUCUUUUCGGAGAAAGUGUUUAUAGCCUUUGGCCUCUGCAAUCGGAGAGAUUGAGGUCUGCAGCGUAGAUCCUUCGGGGUUAGAUACAUUUGUGCUAAGUUAUAGCCUUUCAUAGACAACUUGUUGACUAUGAUCAGUCAUGUAGCUUACUCGCUUAUGCUAUUUUACCUACGCUUAGGAUGUUGAUGUGAUACUGCGAGCA